AACGAACGCUGGCGGCAGGCCUAACACAUGCAAGUCGAGCGAGACCUUCGGGUAUAGCGGCGGACGGGUGAGUAACGCGUGGGAACGUGCCCUUUUCUGCGGAAUAGCCUCGGGAAACUGAGCGUAAUACCGCAUACGCCCUUUGGGGGAAAGAUUUAUCGGAAAAGGAUCGGCCCGCGUUGGAUUAGGUAGUUGGUGGGGUAAUGGCCUACCAAGCCUACGAUCCAUAGCUGGUUUGAGAGGAUGAUCAGCCACACUGGGACUGAGACACGGCCCAGACUCCUACGGGAGGCAGCAGUGGGGAAUCUUAGACAAUGGGGGCAACCCUGAUCUAGCCAUGCCGCGUGAGUGAUGAAGGCCUUAGGGUUGUAAAGCUCUUUCAGCUGGGAAGAUAAUGACGGUACCAGCAGAAGAAGCCCCGGCUAACUCCGUG
Molecule: ribosomal RNA, 433 nt
Filed under: uncultured bacterium
Lineage: Bacteria
Description: partial 16S ribosomal RNA
Rfam family: Bacterial small subunit ribosomal RNA
Source: RNAcentral